ACUUCGCGUUGAGUACGACUGAAAGACGGACGUUUUAGUUGUCGAUUACCGCGUUGAGCAACUUCCUGAAGAGAAGAAUGGAAAAAGUUCUUUUUUUCUCAAAUUUCACAUACUUUUAAAAUUGUGCUAAAGCAAAAAGACUUUUGGAAAAUUCAAUUGUGUAAAACGGUGAAAACUUAGUGUGAAAUUGUGAAGAAAACCAACCUGAAAUAUCUUGGGAAAGAAAAAAAAUUUGUUUAAAGUUUUUUUUUCUGCUACCAUCGGAAGAGUGAGAAAAAAAUAGCACAAAAGCAAAUGGAAUAAAUGACUGAUUGUACGUGUGAGCGAGUGAACAUGCGAGCGCAAGUGAGAAAAUGAAAAAAUAAUAAAGUAGAGAAAAAAUCGAAUUCCUUUGUAGGUGUGUAUUUUGACAAACAAAAACAAGGAAAACAAAAUGUAGAGGCAAGAAAACAACAAUGAAUGGGUAGAAAAUUCUGAAAUUUGCUGCGCUGCAAGAAAAUUUGAAGUGUUGCACAGACGAAAAGACGAGGAUGUGAAAAAGGAAAUACAUAAAUAAAUAAAAUCACUAAAAUAGAAUCGUAAACGUACAUAUGAAUGAAUAAAAAAUGACGGCUGAAAAACAAGAAUAAACAAAUUCUAACAUGAAUGUGCAUGGGAGAAAUAUUGAAAUCAAAGAAAAUACUAUAUUUUAAUACAGUGAAUAAGAAGUUACAAAAUGCGUGUUUAUUUUGAGUUGCCGCAUAAAGCAAUCAAUAGAAUUGGCAUUGGGAAACAAGUCCUCUGAAGGUCAAAUUUGUUUGCUGUUUUGAAAAAUAUCAACAAUCGAAACUACAUACACACAUACAAACAUUAUUACUACAAAGCUGUCACUACUACGACUGCAAUAACAAUUACAAUAGGCCAGCAACAGGCAUACAUUUUCUGCGUAGGAGUCAAAGAAGUAAGGCUAGGCGCGACUAGUCAGUCAUUGUCUAUUCGACCGGUCGAGCAAUACGCCUGCUGGUGGUGGGGAAGGCGGUGAGCAGCUAUGCCGACUACUUACACUGCAGCUCUUAACAGUAGCUGGUAGCGAAUGGCACCGAUACUGGUCGGGCAGAGGGGGUGACCGGGGUCUGCGACUGGAGCUGCAUUGACUGUUAACUCUGAGUCUCUAGAGUCAUGCUACUGUGGCGGUGACGGCGGCGCACAGUGUUAAGCAAGUGGUGAAAAAUUACUAAAACAAAAAAUCUAUGGGAAAUAUUAUUUAAAAAGUUUCAUUAUAUAACUUAAAAAUUAUUAUAAACUUGUCAGAUACGUAAAUAAAAUAGAAGCAUAAUUUUUUAUUACCUGUUUUAGAGCCGUUUUCGGAACUAACCUAUAACACUACAAUUCACUUGCCUAUAAACAUAUUUUCGAUCUCCCUACAGUUUUUUGAACCCUCAAACCGAUCAUUUAAAAUUUGUGUUUAGCUUCAAAAUGAAGUGAAAUUUAUUUGGGCGAUGUAAUUAAAAAAAAAAUGGAUUUCACCUUCUUGGAAAUAGUUGAACAAAUGGUGGAUUUUCACUGCAUAGGAAUGCCUCCUAUGCGUUGGAAUGUUCAGGUUGGGGAAAGACUUCACUUCACUUUGUAUGUCCAACUGGGGCUGGUUACUACGAGAAAGAAACGACUGGCGUUUUAAAGUUAGGUAUAGUUUAUCAUCAGUUUGUUUUAGUGAAGCUAGUUUUAUUGGUUAGAUAGGAAAAGGGUCCUAAUUUUUAUUAGUAGAUAUGCGACGUAAAUGUUGAAGAAAUAAUAUUUACGAAAUUAAAUCAUGAUAUGUGCAAAUUUGUGUUAUUUCGAAAUGGAUAUUUGGUAAUAAAAACUGUCGAACGCUUUUUGAAAAUUUCUUUAAAACUGUAAUAGUGGCUUGUAUGCACUUUCUUUCGGCUAAGAUGUGUAAACUAAACUGGGCUGAAAAAGCUGUAAAUAUGUACCCCAUUUUUUAAAGCUUAUGUUGAGAGAAUUUCGCCUUCAAACAAAAAAUACUUUUUGAGCUUGCUAAAAACUGCCGAAAUUUAAGAAUGGACACUAUUUCUA
Molecule: long non-coding RNA, 2055 nt
Organism: Anastrepha ludens (Mexican fruit fly)
Lineage: Eukaryota; Metazoa; Arthropoda; Insecta; Diptera; Tephritidae
Exons: 3
Source: RefSeq, a predicted model, not a curated record